Molecule: ribosomal RNA, 454 nt
Filed under: uncultured bacterium
Lineage: Bacteria
Description: partial 16S ribosomal RNA
Rfam family: Bacterial small subunit ribosomal RNA
Source: RNAcentral
GAUGAACGCUGACAGAAUGCUUAACACAUGCAAGUCCACUUGAACUUCGGUUUGGGUGGCGGACGGGUGAGUAACGCGUAAAGAACUUGCCUCACAGAUAGGGACAACAUUUGGAAACGAAUGCUAAUACCUGAUAUUAUGAUUAUAUGGCAUCGUAUAAUUAUGAAAGCUAUAUGCGCUGUGAGAGAGCUUUGCGUCCCAUUAGCUAGUUGGAGAGGUAACGGCUCACCAAGGCGAUGAUGGGUAGCCGGCCUGAGAGGGUGAUCGGCCACAAGGGGACUGAGACACGGCCCUUACUCCUACGGGAGGCAGCAGUGGGGAAUAUUGGACAAUGGACCAAGAGUCUGAUCCAGCAAUUCUGUGUGCACGAUGAAGUUUUUCGGAAUGUAAAGUGCCUUCAGUUGGGAAGAAAAAAAUGACGGUACCAACAGAAGAAGUGACGGCUAAAUACGUG